RNAcentral lists this ribosomal RNA (349 nucleotides) under uncultured Desulfobulbus sp. Its description in RNAcentral is "bacterial SSU rRNA". It matches the Rfam family "Bacterial small subunit ribosomal RNA", at positions 1033 to 1382 of the family's 1533-position model. The record is from RNAcentral. Lineage: Bacteria; Pseudomonadati; Thermodesulfobacteriota; Desulfobulbia; Desulfobulbales; Desulfobulbaceae.
AGACAGUGCUGCAUGGCUGUCGUCAGCUCGUGUCGUGAGAUGUUGGGUUAAGUCCCGCAACGAGCGCAACCCUUGCCUUUAGUUGCCAGCAGUUCGGCUGGGCACUCUAAAGGGACUGCCGGUGUUAAACCGGAGGAAGGUGGGAAUGACGUCAAGUCCUCAUGGCCUUUAUGACCAGGGCUACACACGUACUACAAUGGCCGAUACAAAGGGCAGCGACACUGCGAGGUGAAGCCAAUCCCGUAAAAUCGGUCUCAGUCCGGAUUGGAGUCUGCAACUCGACUCCAUGAAGUUGGAAUCGCUAGUAAUCGUGGAUCAGCAUGCCACGGUGAAUACGUUCCCGGGCCUU